RNAcentral lists this ribosomal RNA (426 nucleotides) under uncultured bacterium. RNAcentral's name for it is "bacterial SSU rRNA". It matches the Rfam family "Bacterial small subunit ribosomal RNA", at positions 28 to 419 of the family's 1533-position model. The record is from RNAcentral.
GAUGAACGCCGGCGGUGUGCCUAAUACAUGCAAGUCGAGCGCACUGGCCCAACUGAUAUGAUGUGCUUGCACUGAAUUGACGUUGGAUUCCCAGUGAGCGGCGGACGGGUGAGUAACACGUGGGCAACCUGCCCUGAAGCAGGGGAUAACAUCUGGAAACAGGUGCUAAUACCGCAUAACAACGAAAAACCACAUGGUUUUCGUUUAAAGAUGGUUUCGGCUAUCACUUCAGGAUGGGCCCGCGGUGCAUUAGCUAGUUGGUAAGGUAACGGCUUACCAAGGCGAUGAUGCAUAGCCGAGUUGAGAGACUGAUCGGCCACAAUGGAACUGAGACACGGUCCAUACUCCUACGGAAGCAGCAGUAGGAAUCUUCCACAAUGGGCGCAAGCCUGAUGGAGCAACACCGCGUGAGUGAAGAAGGGUUUC